This 73-nucleotide transfer RNA is filed under the name Dreissena polymorpha. It matches the Rfam family "tRNA". From Rfam's summary of the family: Transfer RNA (tRNA) molecules are approximately 80 nucleotides in length. Their secondary structure includes four short double-helical elements and three loops (D, anti-codon, and T loops). The record is from Rfam by way of RNAcentral. Lineage: Eukaryota; Metazoa; Mollusca; Bivalvia; Myida; Dreissenidae.
AAUCUCGUAGCUCAGCGGAGAGAGCGCAUUUCUCGCGAGAAAUGAGACGAGGGUUCAAAUCCCUCCGAGAUCA